This 199-nucleotide ribosomal RNA is filed under the name uncultured bacterium. RNAcentral describes it as "partial 16S ribosomal RNA". It matches the Rfam family "Bacterial small subunit ribosomal RNA", at positions 1303 to 1500 of the family's 1533-position model. The record is from RNAcentral.
GGCUGAAAUUCGCCUUCAUGAAGCUGGAAUUGCUAGUAAUGGCAGGUCAGCAUACUGCCGUGAAUACGUUCCCCGGGCCUUGUACACACCGCCCGUCACACCAUGAGAGUUGGAAAUACCCGAAGCCUGUGAGCUAACUUAAAGAGGCAGCAGUCGAAGGUAGAGCCCAAUGAUUGGGGUGAAGUCGUAACAAGGUAAC